Molecule: ribosomal RNA, 464 nt
Filed under: uncultured bacterium
Lineage: Bacteria
Description: bacterial SSU rRNA
Rfam family: Bacterial small subunit ribosomal RNA
Source: RNAcentral
GGGCCCGCACAAGCGGCGGAGCAUGCGGAUUAAUUCGAUGCAACGCGAAGAACCUUACCAAGGCUUGACAUGUACAGGAAAGUUCCAGAGAUGGUUCCCCCGCAAGGUCUGUACACAGGUGGUGCAUGGUUGUCGUCAGCUCGUGUCGUGAGAUGUUGGGUUAAGUCCCGCAACGAGCGCAACCCUCGUCUUAUGUUGCCAGCACGUUAUGGUGGGAACUCAUAAGAGACUGCCGGGGUCAACUCGGAGGAAGGUGGGGAUGACGUCAAAUCAUCAUGCCCCUUAUGUCUUGGGCUUCACGCAUGCUACAAUGGCCGGUACAAUGGGCUGCAAUACCGCGAGGUGGAGCGAAUCCCAAAAAGCCGGUCUCAGUUCGGAUUGGGGUCUGCAACUCGACCCCAUGAAGUCGGAGUCGCUAGUAAUCGCAGAUCAGCAACGCUGCGGUGAAUACGUUCCCGGGCCUU